RNAcentral lists this ribosomal RNA (392 nucleotides) under uncultured bacterium. RNAcentral's name for it is "partial 16S ribosomal RNA". It matches the Rfam family "Bacterial small subunit ribosomal RNA", at positions 523 to 918 of the family's 1533-position model. The record is from RNAcentral.
AUACGUAGGUGGCAAGCGUUGUCCGGAUUUAUUGGGUUUAAAGGGAGCGUAGGCGGGAGCUUAAGUCAGCGGUUAAAUGGUGCGGCUCAACCGUGCCCUGCCGUUGAAACUGGGUUUCUUGAGAGUGCAAGAGGCGGAUGGAAUUCAUGGUGUAGCGGGGAAAUGCUUAGAUAUCAUGAAGAACUCCGAUUGCGAAGGCAGUCCGCUGGGGCACGUCUGACGCUGAUGCUCGAAGGUGCGGGAAUCAAACAGGAUUAGAUACCCUGGUAGUCCGCACGGUAAACGAUGAUUACCCGCUGUCGGCGGUAGACAGUCGGCGGCCAAGCGAAAGCGAUAAGUAAUCCACCUGGGGAGUACGCCGGCAACGGUGAAACUCAAAUGAAUUGACGGGG